Molecule: long non-coding RNA, 329 nt
Filed under: Manihot esculenta (cassava)
Lineage: Eukaryota; Viridiplantae; Streptophyta; Magnoliopsida; Malpighiales; Euphorbiaceae
Description: long non-coding RNA (MESC_LNC007201)
Source: RNAcentral
AAACUAAAAAAAAACUCUAGAUCCUGAGAUAAAUCAGAAUUUACCUCACUUUGGCUCUGAUACCAACUGACGCGAAACCCUAUGGCACAAGCCUCAAACCCACACGCACAAGUAGAUAUGGAAUCCAAAGAUUUGAUAAACCCACCUCCUAUGGCACCCCAUACUUAGAGAAGCUGAAACACCAAUGAUCGAAGGAUUUAGAUGAGAAUCUGACAAACGCCACAACGAAUAGUUGAUAAGUAAGCCAAGAUUCCUAGUGCAAUUGAUGAAAGCAAAUCCUCACUCUCACUCAAAGCAAUACACGCCAAAAGCAUGAGAAGAAUUCUGAA